Molecule: long non-coding RNA, 3565 nt
Organism: Apis cerana (Asiatic honeybee)
Lineage: Eukaryota; Metazoa; Arthropoda; Insecta; Hymenoptera; Apidae
Source: RefSeq, a predicted model, not a curated record
UCUCUUUCCUCCCCACCUCUUCCCUGUCUCUCAAGGUUUCGCCAUCUAUUACGUCGAGAGCGAGAAUAAUAACAAACGCUCUCUCGAGUCGAGUCGAUCCACGACGAAACGUGUUUGUAAAGCAUCGACGUUGGUGUAGAAUCCUGUGUGAUGUGAAAAAUACUUUUACCUCUCGUAACGGGCUAAUAUAACUUUAUUCAUAAACGUGGUUCCGUGUUCGAAUAAGCAGGACAUACAUUCCUAUUAUUCGAAUACCGGAUAAUAUACGAACGUUUUCAUCAUGAUCCGUAUGUUCCAUGUUACACCGCACAACGUUUCGUAGCGAUGUUUACAUAUAACGUACUUAAAUUACAAGGCAAAUGCAACGUAUUUAGAUGUAAUGAAUACUUUUCCUAUGCUCGGCCGGUUAAACGUUUAUCGAUUGAGUGUGAAAUGGAGACUCGGUAUCGCGAUAGCAGGACUGCAGCUGCUUAUAAAAAAUUUAUGCGACUUGGUAGUUAAAAAGAUACGAGACCCUGAAACAUUGAGAGAAACUGUCAGUUUUGUUCAUUUCUAGUUGAAUAAGUGAAGUUUAAUGCGAAAGAAGGUAAUUGUUCAAUUAUUAUCCGAAAAUACCGUUAUUCGGCCACUUUUGUCUAUCAAUUCCGAUACGGAAAUCUUUAUUUCCUUAUUGGAUUGGAUUAUUCUAACGUAACUUCACAAGUGAAAAUAUAUUAAGCGUGCGAAUAAGUUAUUUUCCCCUUUUUUUUCAAAAUUCAAGAUUUUAUUACGUACAAAUCGGGUACAAGAUUAUCGUAUCUCAAAAUACUUUCAUCCUCAUUCUCUAUAAUUGUCCUCUUCUAAUCUGAUGAGUAAAUUAUAAAUUCCUUCCUCGAAGAGCGAUAGCUGCUUGCUGAUUAAGCGAUACAUUUUCAGAUUGCUUUCUCGACAAUUGAUACUUCUUUUCGGCAACGCGUUGGCCGAGCAUCGUCGUGCGAAAUCACGCGUCUCGUUCCUCGUCCCGUAAACGGCCGUUUCUCUAGCUUUGGCUGCUCGUAUUAUAAAUUCAUUCCUCGGUUUUGAUAAUAUUCGGUUAUUCAGUUAUCGUCGUUCCAGACGGAAGCGGUUCACGAUGGAUAAUCGAGUUUCGGUUUUGCCACUGAAAUCGACGCGUCCAUAAAUCGACCCGUGAUCUCCCUCUUAUCGUCAUAUAAGACUCAUUUCUCAUCGCCAGUAACAAUUUUACGCAGAAAACUUUUCCUUUUACGCCGUUUUCUCUAUUCAUUUCGCUUACAAUUCGUGCAGUGUUCCAACUUCUGAGUCUUACCCAAUUGCCUCACUCGAAUAGAUAUCGCUCGUUCGAUCUUUCUACCGAUUCUUCUCGCGUCUUAAAAUUUCCAAAUUUAAAUGUUUGUUACUUUUUCCACGUUCUGCAUACACCGUUCUCUCUCAAUGGCGCGCAUAAAGCAUUUCGGAUGCUUGAACACCCGAUUUCCUAAGCUGGAACGCUUCUCUCGAAAUUGUCGCAUAGGAUUGGAAAUUCUUAGAGCAUUCGUAUUGACUCUUCUUAAGAACAAAGGAACACUUUUUUAAAGGGAAACGGAAAAUAAUUCAAAAUAAUUCGGUUCGGAAAAAGAAGAGGAAGGAAUAAUUUUCACCAUUUCGAAUAUUCGUAUCACACCUCUUUCAAUCUACUGUCGACAAAAUCCCUUCGAAAUCCCUCCAGCUUCAAAAAUCAGAAAUCGUUUAACGUAUCGUGAAUAUAUAUAUAUAUAUUCUCUCUUGCUGCGAUAGAAUUUUCCUUCUAAUCCACGCGUCCCCGCUCUUUUUAAAGAUUAACGAGAGGCGACGACCGGCGAUAAAUAACUUAGCCUGGAAAUUUGCGUUUCCAGCCUUCCUCGGCCGACGUACUCGCGAGGAAGGCGCGGAAGGGAGACGAGCGGAUUAAUUCGAUUUUCCAGCGGCGCAUCAAAGCGAACGAAUGGAAUAUCUCUCCGUUCCCGUGGGUGGGAAUAUAUUUUUAACCCCUCUAUUAAAACGUGGGUAAUCAGCGAAUGAAUUCCCCUCUCGAAUCCCGUCCCCCUCCUCAUCGAUCCAAUCCUUGUUUUCGUUGCGCCUAAACGAUCACCGGGGAGGGGGAUUCUCUGAGCCCCCCUCUCCAGAUGCAUUUAAGUUAAUCGAUGAUCUAAAAUCUCGUCUUUGUUCCUCGUCCAGCUUCGAAUUAACGAGGCGAUAAUAAGAUAGUAUAUAUUAGGCUGUCCCAUAAGCGUCUUCCUUUUCUUUUUACACGAAAUGAAUCGCCUUCUUCCAUUCCCUCGGGAAGCCUCGUUAUUCCAAAAUUGUUGGGGUUUAUUUGCAAAAUAUUGCUCGAGGCGCAAUUUUUAUUUGGAUCGGUUUGGAAUCGUUUAUCGUGGAGAGAAUUUUUUUUAAUAACAGGAACAAGAUGGAGCGAGAUCUGGGGAGUCACAGAAGAUGCAGGAUCGAACUGUAACCCCUUUUCUCUUACGAUGCUCGUAUAUUUUAUAUAUAAUUUUGCACUGCUCGCCAAUUUCUUGACCGUUCUUCUAUGUCUUUCGGUUUAUCAAGCAACAUUUUCGAAAAUUGAUGGUUUCCACAUUGAGAAAGGAGGUCAUAGCAUUGAAGUCCAACGCGACAGUUGAAGAUCUAUUUAUUGUCCUUGAAUCAAGGGCACAUUUUUCGAUGCGACUCGAUCUUGACUCGAAGAGAGUAUUUUAAAAGGGCUAAUUAAGUCGCAUGUUCGCAUAAAAAUGAGACUAGUUGAAGUCAGUUCCUAGCGGAAGAAACUUAUGGAACACCUUAAUCUAGUAAUUCUCGUUCGAAUAUAACAAUUCGCAUCGACUUGAAUCCGAGUGGUUUCGAGAGAGGGGAGGGGAGGACUCGUCUUCGCCUUGAAUCUUGAAUACCCGCGUUCGCUGCUCGAUUUCGGAGGAUAUUUGAACCGAUGUUUAAACGGAUGGGGAUGGAAAUAAUAAAUCUUCGGUUCGCGAUCGACUCGAAUUUCAAAUAUAACGAGUAUGAAAGUAUACAUCGAAGAUAAAGUUUAUAUGUAAAAAAUAUAUUGAAAACGACAGUAAACGAAAAUCUAUGGAUUUUAAAUAAAUAAUUUACGAAAAAUUGCUCUUCAACGAUGAUUUUUCGCCACCACUUGGAUUGAUAUGGCGAUUUAUUUAUUUAUGUUUUUAUUUUUUUAGAAUAUCGCUUCUUAAAUAGGUAUCUAAACUCUUUAUAAUCUUAUGAGAAUAAUAUAUUGUUAAAUGGGUAGAUUUUUUCCGAGUCGUGGGAAUAGAAAUAUUAUUUUCAAAGUUUUUGAGUUUUGUAAGAACGAAAUUAGUUGAUGAAAUUGGUGAAGUUGAGUUCGAUUUUUCGUUAUUGAAAUUACAUUUAUUCACAAAGAAAUUAACGGUAGAGAAAACAAUGACGGACACUUGGAGAUGAAAUAAGAAGGCGAAAAGUAAGAAUAAUAGAUGGUGAAUGCAUAAUAGAAGAUGUCGCAGAAGCAGAUUUUUAUAUCUUCGAAUAUAAAUUAGAUUUUCGUUAAACUAUUUCUUACUGAUGAACUUGUCAA